GUAACAAGGUUUCCGUAGGUGAACCUGCGGAAGGAUCAUUAAAA
Molecule: ribosomal RNA, 44 nt
Filed under: Otidea tuomikoskii
Lineage: Eukaryota; Fungi; Ascomycota; Pezizomycetes; Pezizales; Pyronemataceae
Description: partial 18S ribosomal RNA
Rfam family: Eukaryotic small subunit ribosomal RNA
Source: RNAcentral